GGGCCCGCACAAGCGGUGGAGCAUGUGGUUUAAUUCGACGCAACGCGAAGAACCUUACCAGGGCUUGACAUCAAAUGAAAGAUCUAGAGAUAGAUCCCUCUCUUCGGAGACAUGAAGACAGGUGGUGCAUGGUUGUCGUCAGCUCGUGUCGUGAGAUGUUGGGUUAAGUCCCGCAACGAGCGCAACCCCUAUUGUUAGUUGCCAGCAUGUAAUGAUGGGCACUCUAGCGAGACUGCCGUGGACAACACGGAGGAAGGCGGGGAUGACGUCAAAUCAUCAUGCCCCUUAUGUCCUGGGCUACACACGUGCUACAAUGGACGGUACAAAGGGCAGCGAAGCCGCGAGGUGGAGCAAAUCCCAUAAAGCCGUUCUCAGUUCGGAUUGUAGUCUGCAACUCGACUACAUGAAGUCGGAAUCGCUAGUAAUCGCAGGUCAGCACACUGCGGUGAAUACGUUCCCGGGCCUU
RNAcentral lists this ribosomal RNA (466 nucleotides) under uncultured bacterium. RNAcentral's name for it is "bacterial SSU rRNA". It matches the Rfam family "Bacterial small subunit ribosomal RNA", at positions 917 to 1382 of the family's 1533-position model. The record is from RNAcentral.